This 492-nucleotide ribosomal RNA is filed under the name uncultured bacterium. Its description in RNAcentral is "partial 16S ribosomal RNA". It matches the Rfam family "Bacterial small subunit ribosomal RNA", at positions 29 to 507 of the family's 1533-position model. The record is from RNAcentral.
AGUGAACGCUGGCGGUAGGCCUAACACAUGCAAGUCGAACGGCAGCACAGUAAGAGCUUGCUCUUACGGGUGGCGAGUGGCGGACGGGUGAGGAAUACAUCGGAAUCUACUUUUUCGUGGGGGAUAAUGUAGGGAAACUUACGCUAAUACCGCAUACGACCUACGGGUGAAAGCAGGGGAUCUUCGGACCUUGCGCGAUUGAAUGAGCCGAUGUCGGAUUAGCUAGUUGGCGGGGUAAAGGCCCACCAAGGCGACGAUCCGUAGCUGGUCUGAGAGGAUGAUCAGCCACACUGGAACUGAGACACGGUCCAGACUCCUACGGGAGGCAGCAGUGGGGAAUAUUGGACAAUGGGCGCAAGCCUGAUCCAGCCAUACCGCGUGGGUGAAGAAGGCCUCCGGGUUGUAAAGCCCUUUUGUUGGGAAAGAAAAGCAGCAGGUUAAUACCCCGCUGUUCUGACGGUACCCAAAGAAUAAGCACCGGCUAACUUCGUG